RNAcentral lists this transfer RNA (121 nucleotides) under Coemansia pectinata. RNAcentral describes it as "tRNA-Arg". It matches the Rfam family "tRNA". Rfam says of the family: Transfer RNA (tRNA) molecules are approximately 80 nucleotides in length. The record is from RNAcentral. Lineage: Eukaryota; Fungi; Kickxellomycota; Kickxellomycetes; Kickxellales; Kickxellaceae.
GCCUCCGUAACAUAAUGGAUAGUGUGCCGCUCUCCUAUUGGCCGGAGACCUAUGUCCCGUGACUAAAAAUGUCAUUUGUCGAAGUUAAGCGGAUAUCCGGGUUCGAACCCCGGCGGAGGCU